UACGGAGGAUGCGAGCGUUAUCCGGAUUUAUUGGGUUUAAAGGGUGCGUAGGCGGGAUAUUAAGUCAGCGGUAAAAUCGAGGGGCUCAACCCCUUUCAGCCGUUGAAACUGGUAUUCUUGAGUGAAUGAGAAGUAUGCGGAAUGCGUGGUGUAGCGGUGAAAUGCAUAGAUAUCACGCAGAACUCCGAUUGCGAAGGCAGCAUACCGGCAUUCAACUGACGCUGAAGCACGAAAGCGUGGGGAUCAAACAG
Molecule: ribosomal RNA, 251 nt
Filed under: uncultured bacterium
Lineage: Bacteria
Description: partial 16S ribosomal RNA
Rfam family: Bacterial small subunit ribosomal RNA
Source: RNAcentral